This 271-nucleotide long non-coding RNA is filed under the name Lathyrus oleraceus (garden pea). RNAcentral's name for it is "Pisum sativum (pea) long non-coding RNA (PSAT_LNC011924)". Lineage: Eukaryota; Viridiplantae; Streptophyta; Magnoliopsida; Fabales; Fabaceae. The record is from RNAcentral.
AUGAAUUAAAAAAAACCAGAAAAGAGAAAAUUCACAAAAAAUAUCAGAUGAUGAAAUAAAAAAUAUUAAAAAUCUAAAUUAGAAACUAGAAAUUAUUUGGAGAAGAAUGCAAUUGGUCCCAUAAUUUUUGGACCAAUAAUAAAAGAGAUAUGAUUUUUGAAAUAAAAUGGAAUUAAAGAAAAUAAAAUCAGAAAAUAGAAAAUAAGAAAAAUCAGGAAGCGUUGGAUGUGGUUUCAUUAAUUGACGUGGUGCAUCUAAUGGUCCAGAGGCG